UACGGAGGAUGCGAGCGUUAUCCGGAUUUAUUGGGUUUAAAGGGUGCGUAGGUGGGCUGUUAAGUCAGCGGUGAAAGUCUGUCGCUUAACGAUAGAAUUGCCGUUGAAACUGUCAGUCUUGAGUAUGAACGAAGUAGGCGGAAUGCGAGGUGUAGCGGUGAAAUGCAUAGAUAUCUCGCAGAACCCCGAUUGCGAAGGCAGCUUGCUAGGUCAUAACUGACACUGAAGCACGAAAGCGUGGGUAUCAAACAGGAUUAGAUACCCUGGUAGUCCACGCUGUAAACGAUGAUUACCAGUUGUUUGCGAUAAACAGUAAGCGACAAAGCGAAAGCGUUAAGUAAUCCACCUGGGGAGUACGCCGGCAACGGUGAAACUCAAAGGAAUUGACGGGGGCCCGCACAAGCGGAGGAACAUGUGGUUUAAUUCGAUGAUACGCGAGGAACCUUACCCGGGAAUGAACGCAUUAGGACGUUAUGCGAGAGCAUAAUUCCAGCAAUGGUCUAUUGCGAGGUGCUGCAUGGUUGUCGUCAGCUCGUGCCGUGAGGUGUCGGCUUAAGUGCCAUAACGAGCGCAACCCCUACCGUCAGUUGCCAUCAAGUAAAGUUGGGGACUCUGACGGGACUGCCGGCGUAAGCUGCGAGGAAGGUUGGGAUGACGUCAAAUCAGCACGGCCCUUACAUCCGGGGCGACACACGUGUUACAAUGGCGGGGACAAAGAGCGGCUACCGCGCGAGCGGAUGCAAAUCUCAAAACCCCGUCUCAGUUCGGAUCGGAGUCUGCAACCCGACUCCGUGAAGCUGGAUUCGCUAGUAAUCGCGCAUCAGCCAUGGCGCGGUGAAUACNUUCCCGGGCCUU
RNAcentral lists this ribosomal RNA (855 nucleotides) under uncultured bacterium Gf16. Its description in RNAcentral is "SSU rRNA". It matches the Rfam family "Bacterial small subunit ribosomal RNA", at positions 524 to 1382 of the family's 1533-position model. Lineage: Bacteria; Pseudomonadati; Bacteroidota; Bacteroidia; Bacteroidales; Bacteroidaceae. The record is from RNAcentral.